Molecule: long non-coding RNA, 707 nt
Organism: Oncorhynchus tshawytscha (Chinook salmon)
Lineage: Eukaryota; Metazoa; Chordata; Actinopteri; Salmoniformes; Salmonidae
Source: Ensembl
UAAUGACAUAAUAGUCAGUUGUACCUUUAAAUAUGUGUUUGUCAAAGCAUAUUGGAUUCAUUUAGUCUGUUAUAAUAAUGAAGACAGUAAUGACAUAAUAGUCAGUUGUACCUUUAAAUAUGUGUUUGUCAAAGCAUAUUGGAUUCAUUUAGUCUGUUAUAAUAAUGAAGACAGUAAUGACAUAAUAGUCAGUUGUACCUUUGAGAUUAAAACAUAUGUUUAAAUCAGUGUAAAUGUGGAGUGUUUGUGUGUGUUUUGUGUGUUUGUCAGUGUGUGUGUGUGUGUGUGUAGUGUGUGGUUGUCAGUGUGUGUGUGUAAUGUGUGUUUGUCAGUGUGUAGUGUGUGUGUCUCAGUGUGUAAUGUGUGUUUGUCAGUGUUUGUGUGUGUGUAUGUGUGUGUUUGACAGUGUGUGUGUGUGUGUGUAGUGUGUGUUUGUAAUGUGUGUUUGUCAGUGUGUGUGUUUGUAGAGAAAGAGGAGGUGUAUACUAGAACCAGCACAGAGAGAACAGACUGAGGACAGACCUUAUUGAAUGUACUGUGACAGGAGUAGUGUAGGGUGUAGUGAAGGUACUGUGACAGGAGUAGUGUAGGGUGUAGUGAAGGUACUGUAACAGGAGUAGUGUAGGGUGUAGUGAAGGUACUGUAACAGGAGUAGUGUAGGGUGUAGUGAAGGUACUGUAACAGGAGUAGUGUAGGGUGUAGUGAAG